This 253-nucleotide ribosomal RNA is filed under the name uncultured bacterium. RNAcentral's name for it is "partial 16S ribosomal RNA". It matches the Rfam family "Bacterial small subunit ribosomal RNA", at positions 524 to 776 of the family's 1533-position model. The record is from RNAcentral. RNAcentral also lists the same sequence under 1 other name.
UACGAAGGGGGCUAGCGUUGCUCGGAAUUACUGGGCGUAAAGCGCGCGUAGGCGGCUUUGUAAGUUAGAGGUGAAAGCCCGGAGCUCAACUCCGGAACUGCCUUUAAAACUGCAUCGCUUGAAUCCAGGAGAGGUGAGUGGAAUUCCGAGUGUAGAGGUGAAAUUCGUAGAUAUUCGGAAGAACACCAGUGGCGAAGGCGGCUCACUGGACUGGUAUUGACGCUGAGGUGCGAAAGCGUGGGGAGCAAACAGG